Molecule: ribosomal RNA, 485 nt
Filed under: uncultured bacterium
Lineage: Bacteria
Description: bacterial SSU rRNA
Rfam family: Bacterial small subunit ribosomal RNA
Source: RNAcentral
AAUCAACGCUGGCGGCGUGCCUCAGACAUGCAAGUCGAACGAUUAAGACUCUCUUCGGAGAGUGUAUAAAGUGGCGCACGGGUGAGUAACACGUAGGUAAUGUACCGAAGGGUGGGGAAUAACUUAGGGAAACUUAAGCUAAUACCGCAUAAUGCAGCGGCUCGACAUCGAGACAGUUGUUAAAGGAGCAAUCCGCCUCUUGAGCAGCCUGCGGCAGAUUAGCUAGUUGGUAAGGUAAUGGCUUACCAAGGCUACGAUCUGUAACCGACCUGAGAGGGUGGUCGGUCACACUGACACUGAAUAACGGGUCAGACUCCUACGGGAGGCAGCAGUCGGGAAUUUUGGGCAAUGGGCGAAAGCCUGACCCAGCAACGCCGCGUGAAGGAUGAAGUAUUUUCGGUAUGUAAACUUCGUAAGAAUAGGAAGAAUAAAUGACGGUACUAUUUGUAAGGUCCGGCUAACUACGUGCCAGCAGCCGCGGUAAU